UUCAACCAGUGGAAUAUAAGUGCAAAAUGAUAUUUACAACUUCUAGGCCUAUAAAAAAACACCUACCAUAAAACCUCCCAGCACAGUGGCCAAGGUGGAAAAAGAAAGAGCACAGCAUAGGUAGUGUCGAUAAGAAAGCCAUAUUGUGUGAUUAUCAAAAAGAGGCACAUAACCUGAUGAAGUCAAAGGCAUCACCCAGAGAGAAUGACUACAAUGGCUGCAGAAAUAAUUGGAGAGGAAGUAAAAAGGUAGCAGUCAUCAUUACCAGGGAAUGAGUGAACUUGGUCACAUCUAUUGUCAUCCCUUCAAUUGAA
This is a long non-coding RNA of Hipposideros armiger (great roundleaf bat), 314 nucleotides long. RefSeq lists it as uncharacterized. Lineage: Eukaryota; Metazoa; Chordata; Mammalia; Chiroptera; Hipposideridae. The transcript is spliced from 3 exons. The record is from RefSeq and is a predicted model, not a curated record.